GGGCUCGCAGGCGGUUUCUUAAGUCUGAUGUGAAAGCCCCCGGCUCAACCGGGGAGGGUCAUUGGAAACUGGGGAACUUGAGUGCAGAAGAGGAGAGUGGAAUUCCACGUGUAGCGGUGAAAUGCGUAGAGAUGUGGAGGAACACCAGUGGCGAAGGCGACUCUCUGGUCUGUAACUGACGCUGAGGAGCGAAAGCGUGGGGAGCGAACAGGAUUAGAUACCCUGGUAGUCCACGCCGUAAACGAUGAGUGCUAAGUGUUAGGGGGUUUCCGCCCCUUAGGGCUGCACCUAACGCAUUAAGCACUCGGCCUGG
This 313-nucleotide ribosomal RNA is filed under the name Bacillus subtilis. RNAcentral's name for it is "bacterial SSU rRNA". It matches the Rfam family "Bacterial small subunit ribosomal RNA", at positions 565 to 876 of the family's 1533-position model. The record is from RNAcentral. Lineage: Bacteria; Bacillati; Bacillota; Bacilli; Caryophanales; Bacillaceae.